This 329-nucleotide ribosomal RNA is filed under the name uncultured eukaryote. RNAcentral describes it as "partial 18S ribosomal RNA". It matches the Rfam family "Eukaryotic small subunit ribosomal RNA", at positions 1470 to 1796 of the family's 1831-position model. The record is from RNAcentral.
CCCUUAGAUGUUCUGGGCCGCACGCGCGCUACACUGAUGCAUUCAACGAGUCUAAAACCUGCUCUGAUAGGGGUGGGUAAUCUUUUGAAUGUGCAUCGUGAUUGGGAUAGAUGAUUGAAAUUUUUCAUCUUCAACGAGGAAUGCCUAGUAAACGCAAGUCAUCAGCUUGCAUUGAUUACGUCCCUGCCCUUUGUACACACCGCCCGUCGCUCCUACCGAUUGAAUGAUCCGAUGAAUAUCAUGGAUUGAGGAUGUAAGCAGGUUCGCCUGUCUUCAUCUUCGAGAAGUGAAGUAAAUCUUAUCAUUUAGAGGAAGGAGAAGUCGUAACA